Molecule: ribosomal RNA, 2914 nt
Filed under: Vibrio cholerae
Lineage: Bacteria; Pseudomonadati; Pseudomonadota; Gammaproteobacteria; Vibrionales; Vibrionaceae
Description: bacterial LSU rRNA
Rfam family: Bacterial large subunit ribosomal RNA
Source: RNAcentral
GUUGUAUGGUUAAGUGACUAAGCGUACACGGUGGAUGCCUGGGCAGUCAGAGGCGAUGAAGGACGUACUAACUUGCGAUAAGCGCAGAUAAGGCAGUAAGAGCCGUUUGAGUCUGCGAUUUCCGAAUGGGGAAACCCAACUGCAUAAGCAGUUACUGUUAACUGAAUACAUAGGUUAACAGAGCAAACCGGGGGAACUGAAACAUCUAAGUACCCGAGGAGAAGAAAUCAACCGAGAUUCCGGUAGUAGCGGCGAGCGAACCUGGAUUAGCCCUUAAGCACUCGGUGAAGUAGGUGAACAAGCUGGAAAGCUUGGCGAUACAGGGUGAUAGCCCCGUAACCGACGCUUCAUCGAGCGUGAAAUCGAGUAGGGCGGGACACGUGAUAUCCUGUCUGAAUAUGGGGGGACCAUCCUCCAAGGCUAAAUACUCCUGACUGACCGAUAGUGAACCAGUACCGUGAGGGAAAGGCGAAAAGAACCCCUGUGAGGGGAGUGAAAUAGAACCUGAAACCGUGUACGUACAAGCAGUAGGAGCACCUUCGUGGUGUGACUGCGUACCUUUUGUAUAAUGGGUCAGCGACUUAUAUUCAGUGGCAAGGUUAACCGUAUAGGGGAGCCGUAGCGAAAGCGAGUCUUAACUGGGCGCUCAGUCUCUGGAUAUAGACCCGAAACCGGGUGAUCUAGCCAUGGGCAGGUUGAAGGUUGAGUAACAUCAACUGGAGGACCGAACCGACUAAUGUUGAAAAAUUAGCGGAUGACUUGUGGCUAGGGGUGAAAGGCCAAUCAAACUCGGAGAUAGCUGGUUCUCCCCGAAAGCUAUUUAGGUAGCGCCUCGGACGAAUACUACUGGGGGUAGAGCACUGUUAAGGCUAGGGGGUCAUCCCGACUUACCAACCCUUUGCAAACUCCGAAUACCAGUAAGUACUAUCCGGGAGACACACGGCGGGUGCUAACGUCCGUCGUGGAGAGGGAAACAACCCAGACCGCCAGCUAAGGUCCCAAAGUAUUGCUAAGUGGGAAACGAUGUGGGAAGGCUCAGACAGCUAGGAUGUUGGCUUAGAAGCAGCCAUCAUUUAAAGAAAGCGUAAUAGCUCACUAGUCGAGUCGGCCUGCGCGGAAGAUGUAACGGGGCUAAGCAAUACACCGAAGCUGCGGCAAUGUCUUUUAGACAUUGGGUAGGGGAGCGUUCUGUAAGCCGUUGAAGGUGAAUCGUAAGGUUUGCUGGAGGUAUCAGAAGUGCGAAUGCUGACAUGAGUAACGACAAAGGGGGUGAAAAACCUCCUCGCCGGAAGACCAAGGGUUCCUGUCCAACGUUAAUCGGGGCAGGGUGAGUCGACCCCUAAGGUGAGGCCGAAAGGCGUAAUCGAUGGGAAACGGGUUAAUAUUCCCGUACUUCUGACUAUUGCGAUGGGGGACGGAGAAGGCUAGGUGGGCCAGGCGACGGUUGUCCUGGUUCAAGUGCGUAGGCUUGAGAGUUAGGUAAAUCCGGCUCUCUUUAAGGCUGAGACACGACGUCGAGCUGCUACGGCAGUGAAGUCAUUGAUGCCAUGCUUCCAGGAAAAGCCUCUAAGCUUCAGAUAGUCAGGAAUCGUACCCCAAACCGACACAGGUGGUCGGGUAGAGAAUACCAAGGCGCUUGAGAGAACUCGGGUGAAGGAACUAGGCAAAAUGGUACCGUAACUUCGGGAGAAGGUACGCUCUUGAUGGUGAAGUCCCUCGCGGAUGGAGCUGACGAGAGUCGCAGAUACCAGGUGGCUGCAACUGUUUAUUAAAAACACAGCACUGUGCAAAAUCGCAAGAUGACGUAUACGGUGUGACGCCUGCCCGGUGCCGGAAGGUUAAUUGAUGGGGUUAGCGCAAGCGAAGCUCUUGAUCGAAGCCCCGGUAAACGGCGGCCGUAACUAUAACGGUCCUAAGGUAGCGAAAUUCCUUGUCGGGUAAGUUCCGACCUGCACGAAUGGCGUAAUGAUGGCCACGCUGUCUCCACCCGAGACUCAGUGAAAUUGAAAUCGCUGUGAAGAUGCAGUGUACCCGCGGCUAGACGGAAAGACCCCGUGAACCUUUACUACAGCUUGGCACUGAACAUUGAACCUACAUGUGUAGGAUAGGUGGGAGGCUAUGAAGACGUGACGCCAGUUGCGUUGGAGCCGUCCUUGAAAUACCACCCUUGUAUGUUUGAUGUUCUAACUUAGACCCAUUAUCUGGGUUGAGGACAGUGCCUGGUGGGUAGUUUGACUGGGGCGGUCUCCUCCCAAAGAGUAACGGAGGAGCACGAAGGUGGGCUAAUCACGGUUGGACAUCGUGAGGUUAGUGCAAUGGCAUAAGCCCGCUUAACUGCGAGAAUGACGGUUCGAGCAGGUGCGAAAGCAGGUCAUAGUGAUCCGGUGGUUCUGUAUGGAAGGGCCAUCGCUCAACGGAUAAAAGGUACUCCGGGGAUAACAGGCUGAUACCGCCCAAGAGUUCAUAUCGACGGCGGUGUUUGGCACCUCGAUGUCGGCUCAUCACAUCCUGGGGCUGAAGUCGGUCCCAAGGGUAUGGCUGUUCGCCAUUUAAAGUGGUACGCGAGCUGGGUUUAGAACGUCGUGAGACAGUUCGGUCCCUAUCUGCCGUGGGCGUUGGAAGAUUGAAGGGGGCUGCUCCUAGUACGAGAGGACCGGAGUGGACGAACCUCUGGUGUUCGGGUUGUGUCGCCAGACGCAUUGCCCGGUAGCUAAGUUCGGAAUUGAUAAGCGCUGAAAGCAUCUAAGCGCGAAGCGAGCCCUGAGAUGAGUCUUCCCUGAUACUUUAAGUAUCCUAAAGGGUUGUUCGAGACUAGAACGUUGAUAGGCAGGGUGUGUAAGCGUUGUGAGGCGUUGAGCUAACCUGUACUAAUUGCCCGUGAGGCUUAACCAUACAACACCCAAGGGGUUUUGUA